Long non-coding RNA from Megalopta genalis, 1218 nucleotides. RefSeq lists it as uncharacterized. NCBI's taxonomy places the organism in Eukaryota, Metazoa, Arthropoda, Insecta, Hymenoptera, Halictidae. The record is from RefSeq and is a predicted model, not a curated record.
CGCGGGAAAAACGAGACUCCGCGCAGCUUCCUGCUAGUUUGUCAACCGCCAUUGUCGGCCGCGGCAAUUCUUAACAAGCGGCCGGACACAACAGACACAAUGCUCGGCGAUGGAAGCGCACUCGUGGACACCGUCAGCUCGAACAAACCGGCCGCUGAAUCGACCAAACUGUUCGCUCCGAUUUCUUAGUUAUCUUUGUGAAUCGUUCAAGUUUUAUCAGCGAUCAACGUAUUUACAGAGCAACGUUUUGACAGCGACAACGCUGAGGUUAGCUCGGUCUUUCGCGCGGGAAACGUUAAUAAGAGGUCCGAACAAGUGUCGCUCGGAGCCACAGACAAGAAGUCACCCCGUACAGAAUAUGCAGAAAAGCGCAGGCCGAUGCAUAGUGCAGAAGGUAACAGCGGACGACACCGGUGACAUGGCAGCUCAGUUGGCCACGUCGAUACUCGUUAACUGUAACACUACGCGUCCCGGCCUCUUACGCCCGGCUUCCUGUGAGCGCGCACGAGCGCGCGCGGAUAGAGAGACAGACGUGCUCGGUUUAUCCGUGGAUAUCCGCGAUAUGAACGCGGGCGCGCGCGCGCACGCACACACGGAGAGCCGCGACCAUAUCGAGAGCGGCCGCGCAAGAGAGGCGCUCGGCUAUUAUUCGCGUGCGCGCACGUGCUGCACCGGCUCGGCUCGGCUCGGCUCGGCGGCGCAGCAAUCCCAGUUGCGUGUGCAGCAGCGGGACACAGGCGUCGCCGCGCGGACGCGGACGUGCUUUACAUUCGUGAGACCCGUCAUCCUCCUUGUCCUUGGCACGACGCCUUCUUCUCGGCCGGCAGAUCGGAUCGCUAGAAUUUAAAUCAGCCCGAUACUUUAGAUCUGGAUCAUCUCCGGCCAGCUCUCGGAACUGUCCGCAACUGGACGACUCUGUUCGCCGACCAGGCUGCGGGCUCUGUUCGAUAAAGAAGAUCUGUCAUUUUUUUCUUUAUCCGUGGCGCUUUGUUCAUGGUGAUGACGGGUUUCGAUGUUGCCGAAGUGGCGGCAGGACUGACAUAACCCUGACCGUAAGGAUAGCGACUGCUACUGGUGCUGCCACCUGUUUGUUAAUGCUAGGUUCACGGGACUCGUCAGAAUGACAGGUCACUCAUUUUUUCAUUUUCGAUUACUUGUGGGAAAUAUUACAAUAAAUGAUAUUACGACAUCCGUCUUAUGUAAUAUCCAAUGUCUAUA